This 297-nucleotide long non-coding RNA is filed under the name Malus domestica (apple). RNAcentral describes it as "long non-coding RNA (MDOM_LNC006926)". The record is from RNAcentral. Lineage: Eukaryota; Viridiplantae; Streptophyta; Magnoliopsida; Rosales; Rosaceae.
AUCGACAAGGCAUUCGUAACUAUGAAAAGCAUGAUACUCUUGCCAGGAAUCUACUUAACAAGAUCGUGACUAGCGACCUUCACUACUUACGAAUAUAAAUUCAUAACGAUUAGGUGAAACAAACUGAUAUCCUAGCAUCAAAUUCAAGCAUGCAAAUUAAGCGUGCACUCUCAACCAACAUACAAGAAUAAGUUCUAAAUCAAACGGUUAAGCAAAUUGUAUUCACGACUUAUACAACGAUAACUGAAAGUAAUCCACUUAUUUCACAUAUAUAAUCAUGGUUUUGAAUCCACCCUU